Molecule: transfer RNA, 92 nt
Filed under: Rohdeia mirabilis
Lineage: Bacteria; Pseudomonadati; Planctomycetota; Planctomycetia
Description: Planctomycetes bacterium Pla163 tRNA-Ser
Rfam family: tRNA
About the family: Transfer RNA (tRNA) molecules are approximately 80 nucleotides in length. Their secondary structure includes four short double-helical elements and three loops (D, anti-codon, and T loops). Further hydrogen bonds mediate the characteristic L-shaped molecular structure. tRNAs have two regions of fundamental functional importance: the anti-codon, which is responsible for specific mRNA codon recognition, and the 3' end, to which the tRNAs corresponding amino acid is attached (by aminoacyl-tRNA synthetases). tRNAs cope with the degeneracy of the genetic code in two manners: having more than one tRNA (with a specific anti-codon) for a particular amino acid; and 'wobble' base-pairing, i.e. permitting non-standard base-pairing at the 3rd anti-codon position.
Source: RNAcentral
GGAGAGGUGGCAGAGUGGCCGAAUGCGCCGCAUUGCUAAUGCGGUGAGGCGGUUUCCCGUCUCCGAGGGUUCAAAUCCCUCCCUCUCCGCCA